GUUUUGAAGUCCUAAAUUACUAAGAAAUACAUUUGUGGAAGAAUGUCAUGCAUUCAUCUAAUACAAAACAGAAAUCUUAAAAGAAACUUUGUCAUGGAUCUAAGAAGGAACAAAUUAGGAACAGACCUAGAAUUUGAAAACAUAACACAAUAAAGACUACUCACCUGCUGCUUUCAA
Molecule: non-coding RNA, 177 nt
Organism: Callithrix jacchus (white-tufted-ear marmoset)
Lineage: Eukaryota; Metazoa; Chordata; Mammalia; Primates; Cebidae
Source: RefSeq, a predicted model, not a curated record